This 1055-nucleotide long non-coding RNA is filed under the name Hordeum vulgare. RNAcentral's name for it is "long non-coding RNA (HVUL_LNC014285)". The record is from RNAcentral. Lineage: Eukaryota; Viridiplantae; Streptophyta; Magnoliopsida; Poales; Poaceae.
AUCUUUCAUUCAUCUCUCUCGUUCUUUAUUUUUUACUUCAAACGCGUUAUGAGCACGUAGGUUCUGCCAAGAGCAUUUGAGCGUUGACAAUCACAGUGGAAUUGUUACGGAUAAGGGAUAAGACAAGUUUCAUUGUGAUUACGACGAUCCCAACGGAAAACACCUUGCUCUCCAUCAACAUGUGAUGGACCGAAGAUGAAGAAGUUUCAAGAACGGGAUCGAUCCAUCUACAAGAAUCAAUGAUCCUGAUGGAUCACUGCACGCUGCACUUCAUUUGUCCUGUUUCUGAUUUGAAUAACAAAUGGGUAUUCUAAUCAACUUUAUUGUUGAUUCGGCAUGCAUCAAUUUGGAGCAUGGAGAUCUGACAUGAUCAACGCACGGACGAAAGCCACCACAACAUCGCUCCGACGUCAGAGAUUUCAACCAACCAAUUGCAUCAUCGAGGACACACGAACCGCUGCAGCGUAGUUCUUCCUCAGAUAGGCACGCCUGCAGCAGUCGGCCGGCAUCAUUCGUCCAGGGAGUCCAACGGCAAUAUCGUGUAACGACGCUUCUUCGGAAUUGAUUGCUGGAGAACUUCGUACAUGGACGGACAUGCAACUGUACAGGGAAGAUAGAUCAGAAGAUUUUCGUCUUGUUUUUGUCUCCUCACGAUCCAUCACGGAUCUAACUCUCGUUCUGUAUUAUGCAUGCAAAUCGCUUGUGAACACGACGAGGAGCGACCGCUGGAUUGAAGUGGCGCUCUUGGGCGCACAAUGCAGCGGCUACGCUACAGCCAUAGGACGCGGCGGUGUAUCAGCAUCAAUGAUCCAUUGAUCGUGUCUCUUGAGAGCAGACGGUGCAAUCCGUCGAUGGCGGUUACACACAGUCAUAGGCUCAUAGCCCUCUUGAACGACGUCGGCGACCAUAUCAGCAUGGAACAGAUUAGUCCUCUUACUUUUUUUCAUUUGUGGAUAAGACAUUCCUUUUUCCCUCAUGUUAGACUUUUAUGUCUUCUAAGACUGCAUAAAAUAUAAUUAUGCGUCAUUUUACAUCUUGUAAAAUAUCAUGUGAAG